Monodelphis domestica (gray short-tailed opossum) is the source of this 1116-nucleotide long non-coding RNA. The record is from Ensembl. Lineage: Eukaryota; Metazoa; Chordata; Mammalia; Didelphimorphia; Didelphidae.
AUAUUACUUAACUGUUGCAAUAGGAAAUUAAGACUUAGGACAUAAGAGUGAUGGACAGGGACAUGAGACUGGAAUCUUCUGAGCCUGGUUGAGUUAGAAUCCCUGGGACUCAGUUGGAAAAAACUGUUACUCUGGACCUGGGAGAGGAAAGGAGAAAGAUGUGUGGCUACAUCUUCCAGAAGCUCAUUUACCAAGAUACUAGCCUGUGAAUAUCUUUUGGCUAUGGUGAGGAGUUAUUCUUCAGUCAUCUGCUGGUCAGGGAUGGAGGAGCUAACUUCAACUUGGAGAAUUACCACCUGUGGACAUUUCACCUGGGAUUCCUGUUUUGGCUCCCCAGAGACUCUUUAUAUAUCUGUAAAUGCAAUACCCAGAACUAACUCUAAACAACAGAGGACCACCCAGUCUACAUUCCAAGCCCUGUCCAUGGUACUGUCAAUGCCAAGGCAGAACUAAGAAAAAAAGGAAGUACAGGAACCUCAGGCCAGCUGCAACAAUCUUUGUUAAAUGAACCUUAAGGUAGACCCUUCUCUUAUUUUUCUAGUGUUUAUCAGCUCUGGAUAUAUGCAGAGCUUAAUGGGGAUGGGGGGGGAGCUAAUAACCCAAGCAAAAGCCAUGAUGAAGUAACCAUUUUACCAUUUAGCAACCAUGAAAUGCUAAAUGGUAAUAACUUUCAGAUUGGCUAAGUAUUUCAAGGGAAUAUGUUUAUCUUUUUCAUACUAAUCAAUUUCCAACUCCAAUAAUACUUUCCACUCAUUUUAUCACUUAAAACUUGAACUGGGGACUCUCAAUAAGGGAAAAACCUUUCCUUAAAAUAUAAAAUUCUCUAAACAAUACCAAAAGCAGAUUCUAACUUUUAAAAUUAAUCUGUCAAAAAGUAUUUUUGACUGCUGAUUAUAUAGUAGACACUGUGAUAAGAGUCAAAAACACAAAGAGAAAAGCUGUUUAGGAGGGAAAGAACUAGAAACUGGAGAGAUCAGGAAAGGCCAUGAAGAAGACAGUGCUUGAGCUACAUCUUCAAAGAAGAAAAAGAUUCUAUAAUGGGUAGAUAUGAGGAAGGAGUGCAUUCCAAGCAUAGAGGGUAAUAAAUACAAAGGAAUGGAGGUUGGAAAAUGAGUA